GAUGAACGCUGGCGGCGUGCCUAAUACAUGCAAGUCGAGCGAACAGACGAGGAGCUUGCUCCUCUGACGUUAGCGGCGGACGGGUGAGUAACACGUGGAUGACCUACCUAUAAGACUGGGAUAACUUCGGGAAACCGGAGCUAAUACCGGAUAAUAUAUUGAACCGCAUGGUUCAAUAGUGAAAGACGGUUUUGCUGUCACUUAUAGAUGGAUCCGCGCCGCAUUAGCUAGUUGGUAAGGUAACGGCUUACCAAGGCAACGAUGCGUAGCCGACCUGAGAGGGUGAUCGGCCACACUGGAACUGAGACACGGUCCAGACUCCUACGGGAGGCAGCAGUAGGGAAUCUUCCGCAAUGGGCGAAAGCCUGACGGAGCAACGCCGCGUGAAUGAUGAAGGUCUUCGGAUCGUAAAACUCUGUUAUUAGGGAAGAACAAAUGUGUAAGUAACUAUGCACGUCUUGACGGUACCUAAUCAGAAAGCCACGGCUAACUACGUG
Molecule: ribosomal RNA, 497 nt
Filed under: uncultured bacterium
Lineage: Bacteria
Description: partial 16S ribosomal RNA
Rfam family: Bacterial small subunit ribosomal RNA
Source: RNAcentral